AUUGAACGCUGGCGGCAGGCCUAACACAUGCAAGUCGAGCGGAUGAGGGUAGCUUGCUACCUGAUUCAGCGGCGGACGGGUGAGUAAUGCCUAGGAAUCUGCCUGGUAGUGGGGGACAACGUUUCGAAAGGAACGCUAAUACCGCAUACGUCCUACGGGAGAAAGUGGGGGAUCUUCGGACCUCACGCUAUCAGAUGAGCCUAGGUCGGAUUAGCUAGUUGGUGGGGUAAAGGCUCACCAAGGCGACGAUCCGUAACUGGUCUGAGAGGAUGAUCAGUCACACUGGAACUGAGACGCGGUCCAGACUCCUACGGGAGGCAGCAGUGGGGAAUAUUGGACAAUGGGCGCAAGCCUGAUCCAGCCAUGCCGCGUGUGUGAAGAAGGUCUUCGGAUUGUAAAGCACUUUAGGUUGGGAGGAAGGGCAGUAAGUUAAUACCUUGCUGUUUUGACGUUACCGACAGAAUAAGCACCGGCUAACUCUGUGCCAGC
Molecule: ribosomal RNA, 489 nt
Filed under: uncultured bacterium
Lineage: Bacteria
Description: bacterial SSU rRNA
Rfam family: Bacterial small subunit ribosomal RNA
Source: RNAcentral